This 487-nucleotide long non-coding RNA is filed under the name Junco hyemalis (dark-eyed junco). RNAcentral's name for it is "lncRNA (ENSJHYG00000014969.1)". The record is from RNAcentral. Lineage: Eukaryota; Metazoa; Chordata; Aves; Passeriformes; Passerellidae.
UGAUAUUAUUCAGAAUAGUACUUUGACCAAAGUAAUCUUUUGAUUAAAGCUCAAAAAUCCAGGUCUUGGGAUGAAGUGCAGAAGCUGAAGCCUGCUAGCCGGUUGACUGUUCAUACAAGAUACUCUUCGAAUGUUCAUAGCUAUAGUCAGAGGACAGCCAGAUAAGAGAAGCUGAAGUGCCCCUAAUGCUUGGCGAACAGUUACCCUGUAAUCUUCCUGACUCUUUGAAAAAGGAAGAAAAACAAUGCAUACAAAUUUCUGAGAACCUUGCUGAUGCUGAGUCUCCUUGAGUGAGAAAACAGGUGGGCUCUCCCUUCCUGGCCAGACUGAAAGCAUGUCACAUUCUCCUGCAGAAUUUUCACAUGAGGAUGUUUGGGAGAGCUCUUUGUGGUGCAACUCACUUGAGUCUUAUUUUGAGGUGCCACUCUGCUUUGACUUUUCUGGAUGGACUCUCAUAGUAGGCAGAGCUCUGCUUACCUUGCCACCA